UGAGAAUAUCACACCAAUUAUCACUUUUUGAUAACAGUUUGAUUCUCAUCUUUCAUUCGAAUUUGUGCUUUCGUUUUGCAAACAUCAGUUGCUAUUCGGUUCCAUUUCUGCCAUCCUGGAAAAUACUUCUGAAACGGAAUUUAUUUAAAAAAAACCUCUUAUUUGUGCAGAUCCAUUCCUAGAGGAACAUCAUGUAUUUCAAAUCACCUAUUCAUGGAGCCAUUUCAUCAUCCACUCUGAUAGUGCUUCUCAUGUGUAUCCUGCCACAUGAAAGUCAAAGUGCCAACAUUCCAGAUCCUCUUAAUAAUUUGCAAAUUGGUUCGAUGAAUGCUGGAAGCAACGACUCAUUAAAAAUAUGGAUUGAAAGAUUCAAUAAUUCACACCAAGACUACGUUAACAAUAUCACAUCCUACAGAAAUAAAUUGGAAGCCAAGGAACGUGACCUGGAUAAACGACACCAGGAAAUAACUGAAAAAGAAAGAAACGUCAAAAAGCAAAUAGACGAAGUAGAAAACCGAGAGGUGCAAGUCGCAUCGAAGGAAGAAAAUAUCACUAAACGAGAGUUGCAAGUUGCUUCGAAGGAAGAAAAUAUCACUAAAACACUAGCAAAAAUUACAAUCCAGGAAAAAAAGAUGAGUGAAAGAGAAAGUGAUGUUACACAAAGAGAAAAGAAAUUAGAAAAUGAGGAAAAUGAAGUAUAUGAGAAAGCGAAUCGUGUUCAACAGCAACAAGAUCAAGUCACGGCUAAGGAAAACGCAGUCCAAAAAAGGGAAACUGAUUUGAAAAUUAAACAAGAACAAUUCAACAUUUGCGAACAACAAUGUACAAAUAAAACGCAGAAUGUGAACACAUCCUCAAUGGGAUGACCAGACAGGAGACGCAAGCGUUCCACCUAGAAAUUUCACUGAAGCAAUGAAAUGUGUUGAUUUGUAAAUACCUAGGUACCUAAUGAAAUUAGAUUAGUAAGUUCAUCAUUUUGUGAUGAAAACAAUAUUUUUUUCCAAUGUAAAUAUUGUAGGUACAAAUAUUCAAAAUAAAUCAUGUUGAAAAUGGGGUUGAGAUACUUUAGCAAAAUAUAGAUAAUCCUCAAUGAAUAAAAAAAUAUAAAAAACUUGGCGAUGGUUUAUACAUUUAUUUCUAAUUUGAACUCACCCAUGGUUUUGUGAUAAGGUGCCCAGAAUGAUUAUAUGAGAAAUUUACUCAUUAGAUAACAUGUAAUCAAUUUUCUGACGAAAGUAUUGAAAAGCUUUAUCAAUUUCCUUUAAAAUACAGAUACCUACCUAUUUAAUUUUUGUGCCGUAAUCGACUAAGCAUCACUCGUAUAUGUGCAACUGUAUACUUCCGGCGUAGAUACAAUUUUUUUUCUUUCAAGUAGGUAUUAAAAGUUACCUAGUGACAAUCAAGACAUCUCAAAGCCCCUCAGAGUGUAUUUCAACCGGAUUCAUUUCUGAUCAAAUGAUAUCAGUUCGGUAGUCAUUUGAAUUCAAGAUGAUUUGGAGUUCCAUCUUUCUCCUGACUAUAAUUACAUCUCAUAGCUGGGCCAAAUUACAUUUUUCGCCCAAUACGUUGCGACCUUUCCUUCACGAAGUACGUUUUGUCAAUUUAACAUCCGACUGCACUCUGCCAAAAGACACAGUCAUUGAAAUUUUUCCAUUACCGAAUGAUAAGGCAGCUGACAUAUACCCCCGUCAAAUCACCGUUAAAGACAGCACCCAGAUGAUAUGGUCUUUAGAAAUUAAUAUCAAAGGAUAUGGCGUUACUUCUUUCAUAGCUAAUGUGAAAGGCAACUCAAAACCGGAUCUGUCUGGUUCGGUGCAGGUUAAAGUGUCACAUGUUUAUUGAUGUUGAUUUGCUGAUUGAUGGAGAAUAGAUUUUUGUGGAAAUAGGCAAAUAGGCCUACGCAUGUUACUGAAUGUUUUGAUCAAAUAGUUUCGUGGUCUACUUGGCGUGGUAAUGGUGUUUUUAAUAUUGUAUUAAAUGUUGAAUUGAGUACGAUUUAAAUUAUAAUAGGAGUAAUAAAUUUUUUCUAGAUUUUUUUUUU
Planococcus citri (citrus mealybug) is the source of this 2041-nucleotide RNA transcript. RefSeq lists it as uncharacterized. Lineage: Eukaryota; Metazoa; Arthropoda; Insecta; Hemiptera; Pseudococcidae. The transcript is spliced from 5 exons. The record is from RefSeq and is a predicted model, not a curated record.